CAGCAUUUCCUCUGUGCUAGGAUAUAAUAUGUGAUGAACUGUAACUAACUUUGUGAUACAGCACGACCAAUUUUUGAACUAAAUGAUAAGUGGUUCAGAUUCGGGAAAAAGAUUGGAUGCUUUGGUCACAAGGUGUUUGGAUAAAACAUCUGGCAUUCGGACAGGUCACAAGGUAUUUGGAUAAGACAUCUGGUGCUCUGAUGGGUCACAGGUUUUCGGAUAAAACAUCUGGUGUUUGGAUAAGUAGUUGCUUGGAUAAUACACAAGAAUGAAGGGGUACGAAUUGUUUACAUGCUAAAAGUAUGUUUUAUAUUAUCGCCGAGAAUAUAGGACAUGUUAGUUGAUACCUCUGCAAAGAAUGCACAGAAAUGAGCUGGUAAAAUCCUGACUAAAACGGGAAAGGCAGCAUUCUGAUCAACCACCAACCCAAGAACCUCAGGCAACAUCAGUUUAACUUGGCAAAACAAGUAGCCCCACAGUGUAUGUAACUUGAAUCAUGACCCAAGCGCAUAGCAUUGUCAGAUUUUAUACUAUCAGGUUGCUGCCCAUAUGGCACAUGCCCUAAAGUUUCAGAAAAAAUACAUGUUAAAAAAUAAAUGAACAAAAGAUUUCUUUUUCUUUCUUUUUUCUGCCAUUCAUACGAACUCCUAUUUCUAAUUUUUUUUUUUAUCUUCUUUUUCUCCUUUUUCAAUUUUCCUUCUCUUUUCAACUCUUUUCCCCAAUAAACACUAUCCAUCCAUUAUAUUUCACUUGAUAGAUAUCUAUCUUUGUUUCUGACUUUCAUUGGCAACAAAAUGAAGCUUAUGGUUCUGCAAUGGAAAUCUCUUCCAUGAUGAAUUUAAGUUGCCAGGGAAUUGAUCUUGACAGAGCAAACAAACCAAAGUUCACAACCUACCAAAACUAUUACAAAUAACUACAAAUCCACGAAUUUCUGUAACUUUCCUUUCCCAUACUUGAAUUUUACGGUGCAAUCAUUUUUUUGCAUGCACAAUCUAUUGUCGCCAGAAUUUGCGUACAUCAAAUCACCAGCAAACGGAAAUUGAACAGAGUGUUUGUAAAUUGUAAUCGAACAAUGCACCAACUCAACUAAAUCAUACUCAAUUAAAUCGGUCAGUGAAGUUGAGUUUUUCGUAUUCGGUGCAAAUAAAUAAUGUAAAAGCUCACAUCUUUUUCCACAAUUUUCUCAGCCACCAAACAGAUGGAAAAAAAAACAAAACAAAA
Molecule: long non-coding RNA, 1221 nt
Organism: Hevea brasiliensis (rubber tree)
Lineage: Eukaryota; Viridiplantae; Streptophyta; Magnoliopsida; Malpighiales; Euphorbiaceae
Exons: 2
Source: RefSeq, a predicted model, not a curated record